This 301-nucleotide ribosomal RNA is filed under the name uncultured bacterium. RNAcentral's name for it is "partial 16S ribosomal RNA". It matches the Rfam family "Bacterial small subunit ribosomal RNA", at positions 509 to 807 of the family's 1533-position model. The record is from RNAcentral.
CAGCCGCCGCGGGAAUACAGAGGGUGCGAGCGUUAAUCGGAUUUACUGGGCGUAAAGCGUGCGUAGGCGGCUAAUUGAGUCGGAUGUGAAAUCCCCGAGCUUAACUUGGGAAUUGCAUUCGAUACUGGUUAGCUAGAGUGUGGGAGAGGAUGGUAGAAUUCCAGGUGUAGCGGUGAAAUGCGUAGAGAUCUGGAGGAAUACCGAUGGCGAAGGCAGCCAUCUGGCCUAACACUGACGCUGAGGUACGAAAGCAUGGGGAGCAAACAGGAUUAGAUACCCCUGUAGUCCCUGUCUCUUAUAC